AGAAGCAGACUCCCUGCUGAGCAGGGAGCCUGAUGUGGGACUUGAUCCCAGGACCCUGGGAUCAUGAACCGAGCUGAAGGCAGCCGCUUAACGGACUGAGCCACCCCGGCAUCGUCCCACACAACCAGAUUUUUCUCUCCUGGUCUUGGGAGGACUAGCCCAGUGUGACUGGGUGAGGAUGAAGCCAAGGGCAGGGUGAAGGGCCUCCUUCCUCUCUAACUGGCUGGCCGGUGUUGGGCAAGCCAUGAAACCUCUUAGCCUCCUGCCCCACAUCUGUCCAAUAAAGGAUGAGACUCCGUGACCUGGCUUUGAAGUUAGAAAUCUAGAGGAUCAAAGGAAAGGUGGGGGUCUGGCCCUCAGGUGGGGGUCUGGCCCUCAGGUUUGCGGAGAGAAGGGGCGCUGACGGCUCUGCCCCCGGAGGUGGAGGGCAGGGCUUGGCCCAUUUGGCCCUUAGGAACGGCAGGGAGAACAGAGCUGGGUCAGGCAGGAGGCUCCCUGUGGCCCCGCCCGCUUACCCCCCCACCCCCCCACCCCCGCUGCGGAUGGGGGGGGCGGGUCUGCUAGGUCUUGAAGUCUCCCAGACACUGCUCCCUGUCGUGGGUCACUGAACUGUUGCUGUGUCCCCGGGCACCCCGGGGACGUUCCUGCGCACGUUCUCUGCUUCUGCCAAGCGCUCUGUUAUCUGAACACGGCUGUGGCUUCUGCCUCUGCUUAACCGUGCUCCCUCUCCUGCCAUGCUCUGGCUCUCCACCCCAUGGAUUUCGACACCUCCUCCAGGCUUCCUGCCUCACGGUGAUUUAUCCCUGUGGCUUCUGGAACACUCAGGCAGUGAUGUGAAAGUCUUAUCUUCCUGACCAGCUUGUAGGUUCUCAGAGAGCAAGAGGCAUCUGUGUCCUCCGGGGGUUUUGCUCAGGGCCUGGCACACUGGGUCUGACGAAGUCUUGUUUGUCAGGAAAGAGAGCUACAGAGAAGCAUGAAGAAUAACAUGACGAAUAGCCAUGAAUUUCCACCCAAGUUCCGUAAAUGGUGACCUUCGGUUAUCAUUUCAAGUUUUCUCAACUGAGGAAAACCAUUACGGAUCAGUUGGAAGCACAUCUUGUUCCUUUCCCAGGCCUUUCCCUACCCUCCAGAGAGCCAGCCCCUCCAAUGCAUUCGGCCGAGUCUGCCGCAAACGAGUCACCCCCGAGCCCUUAGAAAGAUGCUCCGAGUCCAGUACCAGAUGAAAACAGGAAGCAUGAGGGGAACCGCUGGCCGGUUCUGGCCUUUCAGAAACUCCUGGGAAAGCCCUUGGGAAGCUGGAAAGCGGAUUGACAGCCGGGGGUCUCCGGAGCCCGGCCCUUUGCCAGAAGAUCAUUCUGGUCCAGCUCAACCUGCGUGACACGGCCAGUAACAAGCCCCUUUAUACUUGGUCUUCGUCGUCCCACGGGUGGGGCUGAAGUCGGGAUCGAGCCGCCCUCCGAGAACAGCUGUCUGAACAGGAAGGUGGUGUAGCGGACACGGCGCCCGUCCUGCCCGGCUGCACCGCCGACUCCUUCUGGGAUCCGAGGCGAGGCCUUCGCUUCUCUGCCGCUGCCGCUUGUCUCUAACGGGAGUAAUCCCCAUCCUUCCCCUGGGUUUGUGGGACGAGAUGACAGAAGUGUAAUGGAACGUGCCUAACAUCUAAGAGGUGUCCAAUAAUCGCCAGUCGACACUGGGAUUUUCUCCCUGUGGGACGGAUGCCCGAACGCCGCCCCAGCCGGCAGCUCACUUCCCCUGGAAGCAGUCCGCUCAUCUUCCACCACUUCUGACGGCUGGAAAGCUCUUUCCUUCUGCUGCGCUGAAAACUCGCUGGCUGUGGCUUCCAGCCCCUGAGACCAGACAACAACCCCCUCCUUCGCUUCCCCAGUCAGAACAGCCUGUGUGAUCAAACUGUGAUCUUGAGCCCUCUCGCCGUUCUGGCCACCUCGGUAGAACGAGCGUAUUUUCUCAGCCACACAUCCUACACACUUGAACUGUAGGUGAAGAUAAGAGUCCGGGUCAAGGUCUGCCUGGCCACGGGCGAGGAAGGCCAAACGUUGGUUAAUACAUUCGGUGGUUACGGGGCGCCUGGGUGGCUCAGUCCUUAAGCAUCUGCCUUUGGCUCAGGGCCUGAUCCCAGGGUCCUGGGAUCGAGCCCUGCAUCGGGCUCCCUGCUCUGCUGGGAGCCUG
Long non-coding RNA from Ailuropoda melanoleuca (giant panda), 2187 nucleotides. RefSeq lists it as uncharacterized. The transcript is spliced from 3 exons. The record is from RefSeq and is a predicted model, not a curated record. Lineage: Eukaryota; Metazoa; Chordata; Mammalia; Carnivora; Ursidae.